GCUUCCGGGAGAGCGCGGGACAGAGAACCCGCCGCCGAAGAGGCAAGGGCCUGCGGUGAGUCGCCGCAGGGCCGAAACUUUCAGGCAAAAGGACCGGAUG
Molecule: non-coding RNA, 100 nt
Filed under: pig gut metagenome
Description: Glycine riboswitch
Rfam family: Glycine riboswitch aptamer
About the family: This family represents the bacterial glycine riboswitch. Glycine riboswitches usually consist of two metabolite-binding aptamers domains with similar structures in tandem.
Source: RNAcentral